Long non-coding RNA from Argiope bruennichi, 293 nucleotides. RefSeq lists it as uncharacterized. The record is from RefSeq and is a predicted model, not a curated record. NCBI's taxonomy places the organism in Eukaryota, Metazoa, Arthropoda, Arachnida, Araneae, Araneidae. The transcript has 3 exons.
CAUGAUCGUGUAUGUUCUUUGACAAUCUCCUACAUGGAAUAAAAUGAAAAUAUUUUGCAUUAUUAUUUUUUUCCUGUUUCUGCAGCUUCAAAAAUGCUACUCGGACUUUCUCUUUGGAAAUAAUCACCUCGGCAUUCGUAAACCACAUGGUUACGAAAAAGCUAAUCUUGCUUGUGAAUGUGGUAAACUGAAGAAAGUUGUAAAAAAACCCAUACCAUGGAAACUAGCUGAUGAUAUAUAUAAAAACGAUAAAAUUUCUCCCACAAACUCCAUCGACUUCAUCGAAUACAUCA